GCGGGGAUAGCUCAGUUGGGAGAGCGUCAGACUGAAGUCAUACUUCAUUCUCAAGUUUAUCUGAAGGUCGUGCGUUCGAUCCGCACUCACCGCA
Non-coding RNA from Xylariaceae sp. FL0594, 94 nucleotides. The record is from the annotation of a GenBank genome assembly. Lineage: Eukaryota; Fungi; Ascomycota; Sordariomycetes; Xylariales; Xylariaceae.